Molecule: ribosomal RNA, 622 nt
Filed under: uncultured bacterium
Lineage: Bacteria
Description: bacterial SSU rRNA
Rfam family: Bacterial small subunit ribosomal RNA (bases 1-541)
Source: RNAcentral
CCUACGGGAGGCAGCAGUGGGGAAUUUUGGACAAUGGGCGCAAGCCUGAUCCAGCAAUGCCGCGUGAGUGAAGAAGGCCUUCGGGUUGUAAAGCUCUUUUGUCAGGGAAGAAACGGUGAAGGCUAAUAUCCUUUGCUAAUGACGGUACCUGAAGAAUAAGCACCGGCUAACUACGUGCCAGCAGCCGCGGUAAUACGUAGGGUGCAAGCGUUAAUCGGAAUUACUGGGCGUAAAGCGUGCGCAGGCGGUUUUGUAAGUUUGUCGUGAAAUCCCCGGGCUCAACCUGGGAAUGGCGAUGAAGACUGCAAGGCUAGAAUCUGGCAGAGGGGGGUUAGAAUUCCACGUGUAGCAGUGAAAUGCGUAGAGAUGUGGAGGAACACCGAUGGCGAAGGCAGCCCCCUGGGUCAAGAUUGACGCUCAUGCACGAAAGCGUGGGGAGCAAACAGGAUUAGAUACCCUGGUAGUCCACGCCCUAAACGAUGUCUACUAGUUGUCGGGUUUUAAUUACGUUGGUAACGCAGCUACGCGUGAGUAGACCGCCGUGGGAGGUACGGUCGCGAGAUAAACGUACAAUAGAGUAGACGGCGUGAGACGUGCCGACGGACGACGACGAGGGAGGAGG